This is a long non-coding RNA of Ostrinia nubilalis (European corn borer), 2322 nucleotides long. RefSeq lists it as uncharacterized. NCBI's taxonomy places the organism in Eukaryota, Metazoa, Arthropoda, Insecta, Lepidoptera, Crambidae. The record is from RefSeq and is a predicted model, not a curated record. The transcript is spliced from 2 exons.
UGCACCCGGCCGGGGCGCUGCACGCCGCGCGCCCGCCGCCGCCCGCCGUGCUCUACACGGAGAUGCUGCGCACGCGCCGCGCCUACCUGCUCACGGUAUCCGCCAUCCAACCUCAAUGGCUGCACCAGGUGGCGCCCGAGUACGCGCGGCGGUGUCGCGCGGUGCGGUGACAGCGGCCGAAGAACUCCCAACGCAGGCUGUUACUGUAGGGUAUAUUAUUAUGCAUAAUGUAUUUUUCAUUUAAUUAUACAGGCUGUAGUCUUAACAGCUACGCCCGACUCCGGGGUGAUAAUAAACAUGAAAGAAAAGUAAAUUUUCCUCCACUUACGCAAGAAAGAUCUUCAUUAUAAGAUACACAGGGUGUCCCAAAAACAAUGGAUAACUUAACUAUUGAUAAGCCUCACUAUGGUCUCUAAUAAAAUUUUGACCAAGUAGAAAUAUCACGGUUCGUGACACCCACAGAGCCAAAAGGUUCGCAACACAUUUUUGUUACAGUUGGAACUUUUUGACCAAUUUGGGUGUCACGAACUUAUUUGACGCUGACUGUACUCAUAAAACAGGUGAAAUUCCAUCACCAUCAUUGAACAAUAGAAAGUCAAUUAGGUCCGAAUUCAUAGUAAGUACCUAAUAUUAAUAUACAAUCCUUUUUGUCCGAUUGAAAAAAAUAUUAAUAAGUUAUGCAUAUUAUCGCUAGUUCAAUUCAAAACGUCUUUUUAGGGACCUGGGUAUGUACCCGUUUAUAUUAUUAAGGUAUUAAUGCCCGGAUUACAUGAGGUUUUUAUUUUUAACAGAAUUAUUUAACUGUUCUUCUUGAACUUCGCUGAGAUAGGUACAAAAUAGCCUUAGAAUUAAGAUACCACAAUGAUCCUCUUGACACAGAUUAGAUUUUGUGUACCGAUUUUAUAUUCGUUAAAUAGCCUCUUGUGCUCUGGACAUAAGGUCAUAUUUUUGCCAAUGAUACAAGUUAAAAAGAGAUUGUAAACAUUUUAAAGUUAUAAUGCAUUGAAAUAAGUGAAUUUAGAUUAUAAGAAAUAGCCUAAUGAAUGUGAAUACAAAUAGGCAUAAUGUUAAUAAUAAUUUUAGUCUAAAUAAUUGCGCGUUAGAGUUGUCUCUAGUAAUAAAAUUACGUUUUUAUUGUUUUAUUAUAUGUAUAGAUUUCGACACCUGUUAUAAUUGUCACGUAAGUUUAUUAUGCAAUUAAGUAAAUGAUAAUGUUUCCUGUCUUUUUCCAUAAAAUAUAUUUUUGUAAUUAUUAAUGUUUUAUUGGACGUUGAUACCAUCUGUCAUCUUGAAGAUUUGAAGUAAUGCUUCUAUCUUUAAACAAAGUCCUUUGAAGCCCUUUGAUGGCGUUCUCAUGGAGGGCCCGUGUUCAAAGCUUAAUGACUUUAAUGGCUUAUUACUUGUAAAUGUUCUUUAAACUUUGCUGUACUUUACAUACCUGAUCCUACUUAUUGCACAAUACUGCGAAAGUUACAGAGUUAUUACAGGUCAAGUAGUAUAGCUGAAUUUUUGAUUUUGUAGUUCGAAAUGACAGAGGAAAACAUUUAAGAAUCGUUAGGUGGUCUUUUGUUACAUUAUCGGGACAGCACGGCACGGGACUUUUAGGUCACGAUUAAUAAUGAACCUUAUAGUGUUAACGCUACGGUUGAAAAUUGUAAUGAAGUCUGCCGCUUCGGUAUUCCUAAGCAUGCUGUGGCUUGCUAAAACCAUUAGCAUUGCAAUUUCAACCGUAGCGUGAAAACUAUGAAAGUGCAUAAUUAUUCGUCACCUAAAAAUCUCUUGCCGUGCUGGUCCGAUGAUGUCCCAGUCUCAUAUUCUCUUGGGAAGAAGUACGGCAUUCCCAGCGAGACGCGCCGCGGGACCUUUGCCUCCGUGUGUCCGUGGAUACAAGGGUUUAAACAUUAUUCACUGAAUUUUACCUGCUUGUUAUUUGACCGCGGUUAGUUGUCUCAACUACAUUUUCAUCUCACGUGAGAGUAAAUGUGAACUCCGAAUAUUGUCAAGUCUUUUUACGUUAGAAACUCUAAAAUAAUGUAUAUUUUAUAAAAAUGUGAAAUAAAAAAUAUAGCCUACUGCCGUUAUGAGACUUAAUAUUACAAUUAAUGAAAUAUAAUUUUAUAUUUUUUUUAUUACUCAUCACUCACGAACGUAUAAUUAUUGUUAAGUAAGUACCUAUUUCUAACCGAUUUGAAGUUAAGUGUAUGAAAAUUAAAUAUUGAAAUCUGGUGCUAAAUGUAUUUAGUUAAAAUCGUUUCGUGACUUUUAUUAACAGAAAAGUUUUUAUGUCUUAGAUGAAUUAGUUAAUAAAAUGUUUUUACCAUA